This 1697-nucleotide long non-coding RNA is filed under the name Urocitellus parryii (Arctic ground squirrel). Its description in RNAcentral is "lncRNA (ENSUPAG00010004042.1)". Lineage: Eukaryota; Metazoa; Chordata; Mammalia; Rodentia; Sciuridae. The record is from RNAcentral.
CAGGGAUUGGUGGUGAGAAAUCUUCAAGGAGAAACAGCUUAAAAUGAAAAGAGCUUGAAAUGUCAGUGUGUCAAUGCAUUUACAACGUAAUGUUCAGGGGAAAUAAGCGGAAGUAGCAGGAGAGAGAAACAGCUGAGUUAUCUACAGAGUUGAAAGUGUGGCCUAGGUUUAGAAUUCCCUUUCAAAUGUCAAGUUGGUGAGGACAUUUCCAAAUGUGUGGCUAUGGCACACGGGUAUGAGUUCACGCGGAUCCCAAGAGAAGCAGACAGACUCUGACCCAAGCUCUGCAUCACCCGGGUGUGUUGACGUCCCUGUUGUCGGAGAACGUGGCCGCUUCUUGUGAAGUGAGAGAAGAAAGCAGAAGACGUGUCUUCCUGAGAGGAGGCCACUGCUGGUGAGGAAGAGCCAUCGGCCCACGGCCAGAGUGCUCACCGCACCACCCCUUCUGUCCUCACAGCAACCCUGUGAGAUGGGCACCAGGAUUCUUGUUUCCAGACGAGGACACUGAGUGCCAGAGAACAUGAGCAAGUGACCCAGAUCAUUUGGCCAACAAAUGACGUCCGAUGGAAUGGAAAGUCAUGAAGAAAGAGGAAGGAGCGCUGCUGGGGUCAGCUGGUGGGUCAGGGGGCCGUGGUCUCUGACUCAUGGUUCAGCUUGCUGGGGGCGAGGCAGGGGACACCUGGACUAGGAGAGAAGCUGGAGCUGAGGUGACCCCAGGAGCAGCCACCGUGCUGCUGCUGCCUUGGCCAGCACAGUCCUGCCAUUCUCAGACUAGGACAGGGCCCGGUGGGGAGACAGAGUCGGGGGCUUCUGGUGUGCGAUACCUGCUCUGGCUUCAGUGAGGGUGAGCACAGAUUGGUUUUCCGGRGUCACUGUCAAUGGAAGAGGAAGAAACCUGUAGGGUUCUCUUCUAAUCUUUGCUUUCUCCAGAAACCACUCGUCACUGCCGGGGUAUGAGGUAUGAAUCUUGCACAAGCUGGGUUUGUCCCCACCAAAUGCAAGAUGUGUGACCUGUCUACGCUGGAGGACUACAUCUUCCCAGAGGGGCAGAGGCCUGGCAGAGCAUGCUUCUUUACAAAACACUCCCCAGAAGGGGACCCUGCAGGUGGGGUCAGCAUGAGAGAAACAGCAGAAUCAGGCCAUCUGAGAGCACGAGAUUCCAAAAUACCAAGUAGACACAAAGACAGCUGAAAGAUGAGAGUCCAACACUGGGCAAAACAGUGUCCAGGAAGUACAUCUCCAUUGACUUAGAGUUGCAGACAUGGUCACUUAUUUGAAGAUGGGGACUGCUUGGCUAGGGAAAGUUUUAAUAUGCAGCAGAGCUUAAUAUUUGCUGARUGCUUUGCAAGCAUGUCUUUGUCUCAUGGUGAGACUCUCAGGAUGGGUGAGCUUGGUUAUUGAUUUUUGGUUGCUAAGAGAAAAUGGUUAGGGCUACAUGGAUAGUGGAGAAAGGGAGAUGUUAUAGGAUUCUGGGGUCAAGAAAGACAGAGUGGCCCUUUGAUUCUCAAAUGCCAGUCCUCAGGCUUGGAACAAAGUGGCUGCUUCAGAAUUGCUUGAGGAGCUUGUUAGAGAGAUUUCUGAAGCCUAUCCCCAGAAAAGUUUGAUAUGGUAUCAUUUUUUCCUGCUUGAUUCUGACAUUAUUAGRAUUAAGAACUAAAGGAAUAGUUAAUAAAUAAGACUUAGAAGAUUGGAAUGCA